This 1480-nucleotide ribosomal RNA is filed under the name uncultured marine bacterium. RNAcentral describes it as "bacterial SSU rRNA". It matches the Rfam family "Bacterial small subunit ribosomal RNA". The record is from RNAcentral.
GAGUUUGAUCCUGGCUCAGGAUGCACUCUAGCGGCAGGCUUAACACAUGCAAGUCGAGGGGUAACGGGGAAGCUUGCUUCCGCCGACGACCGGCGCACGGGUGCGUAACGCGUAUACAAUCUACCUUAUACUGGGGUAUAGCCUUUAGAAAUGAAGAUUAACCCCCCAUAGUCUCUUAGAGUGGCAUCACUUCUAGAGUAAAGGUUACGGUAUAAGAUGAGUAUGCGUUCUAUUAGUUUGUUGGUGUGGUAACGGCACACCAAGACUACGAUAGAUAGGGGCCCUGAGAGGGGGAUCCCCCACACUGGUACUGAGACACGGACCAGACUCCUACGGGAGGCAGCAGUGAGGAAUAUUGGACAAUGGAGGCAACUCUGAUCCAGCCAUGCCGCGUGCAGGAAGACUGCCCUAUGGGUUGUAAACUGCUUUUAUACAGGAAGAAACACCUCUACGUGUAGAGGCUUGACGGUACUGUAAGAAUAAGGAUCGGCUAACUCCGUGCCAGCAGCCGCGGUAAUACGGAGGAUCCAAGCGUUAUCCGGAAUCAUUGGGUUUAAAGGGUCCGUAGGUGGAUAAUUAAGUCAGAGGUGAAACCUUGCAGCUCAACUGUAAAAUUGCCUUUGAAACUGGUUAUCUUGAGUUAUUAUGAAGUAGUUAGAAUAUGUAGUGUAGCGGUGAAAUGCAUAGAUAUUACAUAGAAUACCAAUUGCGAAGGCAGAUUACUAAUAAUCAACUGACACUGAUGGACGAAAGCGUGGGUAGCGAACAGGAUUAGAUACCCUGGUAGUCCACGCCGUAAACGAUGGUUACUAGCUGUUUGGACUUCGGUCUGAGUGGCUAAGCGAAAGUGAUAAGUAACCCACCUGGGGAGUACGUUCGCAAGAAUGAAACUCAAAGGAAUUGACGGGGGCCCGCACAAGCCGUGGAGCAUGUGGUUUAAUUCGAUGAUACGCGAGGAACCUUACCAGGGCCUAAAUGUAAGUUGCAUUAGUUAGAGAUAGCUAUUUCUUCGGACCACUUACAAGGUGCUGCAUGGUUGUCGUCAGCUCGUGCCGUGAGGUGUCAGGUUAAGUCCUAUAACGAGCGCAACCCCUGUUGUUAGUUGCCAGCGAGUCAUGUCGGGAACUCUAGCAAGACUGCCAGUGCAAACUGUGAGGAAGGUGGGGAUGACGUCAAAUCAUCACGGCCCUUACGUCCUGGGCUACACACGUGCUACAAUGGUAGGUACAGAGAGCAGCCACUGCGCGAGCAGGAGCGAAUCUAUAAAACCUAUCACAGUUCGGAUCGGAGUCUGCAACUCGACUCCGUGAAGCUGGAAUCGCUAGUAAUCGGAUAUCAGCCAUGAUCCGGUGAAUACGUUCCCGGGCCUUGUACACACCGCCCGUCAAGCCAUGGAAGUUGGAAGUGCCUGAAGUCCGUCACCGUAAGGAGCGGCCUAGGGUAAAGUCGAUAACUAGGGCUAAGUCGUAACAAGGUAACC